GGACACCCCAACAAGCUCCAAGCCACAGCCCAAGAGAAGUCUCAGGAAAGCAGACACUGAAGAAGAAUUUUUAGCAUUUAGGAAACAAACGCCAUCAGCAGGCAAAGCCAUGCACACGCCUAAAGCAGCAGUAGGUGAAGAGAAAGACAUCAACACAUUUGUGGGGACUCCAGUGGAGAAACUGGACCUGCUAGGAAAUUUACCUGGCAGCAAGAGACGGCCACAAA
RNAcentral lists this unclassified non-coding RNA (227 nucleotides) under Hevea brasiliensis (rubber tree). Lineage: Eukaryota; Viridiplantae; Streptophyta; Magnoliopsida; Malpighiales; Euphorbiaceae. The record is from RNAcentral.